ACGGAAGGCAGCAGUGAGGAAUAUUGGUCAAUGGACGCAAGUCUGAACCAGCCAUGCCGCGUGAAGGAAUAAGGUCCUAUGGAUCGUAAACUUCUUUUGAGUGGGAGCAAUAAGGUGUACGUGUACAUCGAUGAGAGUACCAUUCGAAUAAGCAUCGGCUAACUCCGUGCCAGCAGCCGCGGUAAUACGGAGGAUGCAAGCGUUAUCCGGAUUUAUUGGGUUUAAAGGGUGCGUAGGCGGCUUGGCAAGUCAGAGGUGAAAUCCCGGGGCUUAUCCCUGGAACUGCCUUUGAUACUGUUGAGCUUGAAUACUGUUGCCGUGGGAAGAAUGAGUAGUGUAGCGGUGAAAUGCAUAGAUAUUACUCAGAACACCGAUUGCGAAGGCAUCUCACGAAGCAGGGAUUGUCGCUGAGGCACGAAAGCGUGGGGCUCAAACAGGAUUAGAUCCCCUGGUA
RNAcentral lists this ribosomal RNA (454 nucleotides) under uncultured bacterium. RNAcentral describes it as "partial 16S ribosomal RNA". It matches the Rfam family "Bacterial small subunit ribosomal RNA", at positions 341 to 792 of the family's 1533-position model. The record is from RNAcentral.